This 760-nucleotide ribosomal RNA is filed under the name uncultured bacterium. RNAcentral describes it as "bacterial SSU rRNA". It matches the Rfam family "Bacterial small subunit ribosomal RNA", at positions 94 to 868 of the family's 1533-position model. The record is from RNAcentral.
AGUGGCGAACGGGUGAGUAACGCGUGAGGAACCUGCCUUUCAGUGGGGGACAACAGUUGGAAACGACUGCUAAUACCGCAUGACACUUUUGGGAGACAUCUCCUGGAAGUCAAAGCUUUAUGUGCUGAAAGAUGGCCUCGCGUCUGAUUAGCUAGUUGGUGAGGUAACGGCUCACCAAGGCGACGAUCAGUAGCCGGUCUGAGAGGAUGAACGGCCACAUUGGGACUGAGAUACGGCCCAGACUCCUACGGGAGGCAGCAGUGGGGAAUAUUGGGCAAUGGGGGAAACCCUGACCCAGCAACGCCGCGUGAAGGAAGAAGGCCUUCGGGUUGUAAACUUCUUUUACCAGGGACGAAGGACGUGACGGUACCUGGAGAAAAAGCAACGGCUAACUACGUGCCAGCAGCCGCGGUAAUACGUAGGUUGCAAGCGUUGUCCGGAUUUACUGGGUGUAAAGGGCGUGUAGGCGGAGAUGCAAGUUGGGAGUGAAAUCCAUGGGCUCAACCCAUGAACUGCUCUCAAAACUGUAUCCCUUGAGUAUCGGAGAGGCAAGCGGAAUUCCUAGUGUAGCGGUGAAAUGCGUAGAUAUUAGGAGGAACACCAGUGGCGAAGGCGGCUUGCUGGACGACAACUGACGCUGAGGCGCGAAAGCGUGGGGAGCAAACAGGAUUAGAUACCCUGGUAGUCCACGCUGUAAACGAUGAAUACUAGGUGUGGGAGGACUGACCCCUUCCGUGCCGCAGUUAACACAAUAAGUAUU